Molecule: long non-coding RNA, 629 nt
Filed under: Pan troglodytes (chimpanzee)
Lineage: Eukaryota; Metazoa; Chordata; Mammalia; Primates; Hominidae
Description: lincRNA
Source: RNAcentral
CUCUUCUAGAGCUGAUUACCAACUCCUACCACUGUUAACCCUCAUCCAGGAAAAAGCUUAUGUCUUUAACAUUCUGAGUGGGCUUCAGCAUCCUUGCAUAUGUUCAAUUCUUAAAAACCUGUUGAAAUAAAAGAUCAGGAGACAUAGGAAGGAUGCCAGAAGAGAGCGUGGCCUCAUGUGUACCAGCUCUCUGCUCUCCUUUGCCUUGGGACGUUCCAUCCCUGGAAGUUUCCCUGCCCACAUCUUUGUAGAGAGUCCAUUCUCCAAGCUUCAGUGUGUCAUCUGUGAGGACUGUGACCAACCUGGUACAUCGCCUCAGGGCAUUCAUUUCAGGCUCCUUCUAAAUGGUCAAGUCAUCUAUGAACUGACUCUGUCUCAAAAAAAAAAAAGAAAAAAAAGAAAAGAAAGAACGAAAAAAAAAAACUAGGACAUGGCUAACAGGAAUGGGGACAAAGAAUCUGCACUGAUGAGGAAACUGAAACAGAAAAUCCAGAGUAAAUUCCACCAGGCCACACAGCAAGGUCUGAUAGAGCCAGGAGAGACUUUAUGAAAUCCAGACUCUCACACUAAUGCUCUAUCAGCUAGACCUCCAUGUGAGUCUCCCCAAUGUAGGUAGGAAGUGCUUUCCC